ACCAGACUCCUACGGGAGGCAGCAGUGGGGGAUAUUGCACAAUGGGGGAAACCCUGAUGCAGCGACGCCGCGUGAGUGAAGAAGUAUUUCGGUAUGUAAAGCUCUAUCAGCAGGGAAGAAAAUGACGGUACCUGAUUAAGAAGCCCCGGCUAACUACGUGCCCGCAGCCGCGGUAAUACGUAGGGGGCCAGCGUUAUCCGGAUUUACUGGGUGUAAAGGGAGCGUAGACGGCAGCACAAGUCUGGAGUGAAAUGGCGGGUCUUAACCCCGGAACUGCUUGGAAAACUGUGCAGCUAGAGUGCAGGAGAGAUAAGUGGAACUCCUAGUGGAGCGG
RNAcentral lists this ribosomal RNA (334 nucleotides) under uncultured bacterium. RNAcentral describes it as "bacterial SSU rRNA". It matches the Rfam family "Bacterial small subunit ribosomal RNA", at positions 330 to 681 of the family's 1533-position model. The record is from RNAcentral.